This 453-nucleotide ribosomal RNA is filed under the name uncultured bacterium. RNAcentral describes it as "bacterial SSU rRNA". It matches the Rfam family "Bacterial small subunit ribosomal RNA", at positions 340 to 786 of the family's 1533-position model. The record is from RNAcentral.
UACGGAAGGCAGCAGUGGGGAAUAUUGCACAAUGGGCGCAAGCCUGAUGCAGCCAUGCCGCGUGUAUGAAGAAGGCCUUCGGGUUGUAAAGUACUUUCAGUCGUGAGGAAGGUGUUAAGGUUAAUAACCUUAGCAAUUGACGUUAGCGACAGAAGAAGCACCGGCUAACUCCGUGCCAGCAGCCGCGGUAAUACGGAGGGUGCGAGCGUUAAUCGGAAUUACUGGGCGUAAAGGGCACGCAGGCGGUUAAUUAAGUUGGAUGUGAAAUCCCCGGGCUUAACCUGGGAAUGGCAUUCAAGACUGGUUAGCUAGAGUCUUGUAGAGGGGGUAGAAUUCCAUGUGUAGCGGUGAAAUGCGUAGAGAUGUGGAGGAAUACCGGUGGCGAAGGCGGCCCCUGGGACAAAGACUGACGCUCAUGUGCGAAAGCGUGGGGAGCAAACAGGAUUAGAUACC